UACAGAGGGUGCAAGCGUUAAUCGGAAUUACUGGGCGUAAAGCGUGCGUAGACGGUUAUGUAAGUCGGGUGUGAAAGCCCCGGGCUCAACCUGGGAAUGCCAUUCGAGACUGCAUAGCUAGGGUGCGGAAGAGGGAAGCGGAAUUUCCGGUGUAGCGGUGAAAUGCGUAGAUAUCGGAAGGAACACCAGUGGCGAAAGCGGCUUCCUGGUCCAGCACCGACGUUCAGGCACGAAAGCGUGGGGAGCAAACAGG
This 253-nucleotide ribosomal RNA is filed under the name Nevskiaceae bacterium. RNAcentral's name for it is "Sinobacteraceae bacterium partial 16S ribosomal RNA". It matches the Rfam family "Bacterial small subunit ribosomal RNA", at positions 524 to 776 of the family's 1533-position model. RNAcentral also lists the same sequence under 1 other name. The record is from RNAcentral. Lineage: Bacteria; Pseudomonadati; Pseudomonadota; Gammaproteobacteria; Nevskiales; Nevskiaceae.